This 214-nucleotide long non-coding RNA is filed under the name Elaeis guineensis (African oil palm). RNAcentral describes it as "long non-coding RNA (EGUI_LNC053566)". The record is from RNAcentral. Lineage: Eukaryota; Viridiplantae; Streptophyta; Magnoliopsida; Arecales; Arecaceae.
AAAGAAGCUGUUGAAUGAGAUAUCUCUAAAAUGAGAGAUAAUAAUAUUAAGAAUUUUAUGAUCAUUUUUUUUAUAUUUGGCGUUACUUUUGAGGACUAUCUCCUAAAUCUUUCUACAGUACUUAAAUGAUGAAUGAAGAUAGAUUUAAUAUUAAUUUAGAAAGAAAUAUCAUGCUAUAGAUCAGGAAGAGAUUUUAUCAAAACAUAUCAUACCC